Molecule: small RNA, 127 nt
Filed under: Marmota monax (woodchuck)
Lineage: Eukaryota; Metazoa; Chordata; Mammalia; Rodentia; Sciuridae
Source: RNAcentral
GCUGGGCGUGGUGGCAUACACCUGUAAUCCCAGCAGCUGGGGAGGCUGAGUCAGGAGGAUUGCAAGCUCAAAACCAGCCUUGGUGAUUUAGGGAAGUCCUAAGCAACUCAGUGAGACCCUGUCUCUA